This 737-nucleotide ribosomal RNA is filed under the name Tubakia dryina. RNAcentral's name for it is "eukaryotic LSU rRNA". It matches the Rfam family "Eukaryotic large subunit ribosomal RNA", at positions 92 to 858 of the family's 3401-position model. Lineage: Eukaryota; Fungi; Ascomycota; Sordariomycetes; Diaporthales; Tubakiaceae. The record is from RNAcentral.
AGUGAAGCGGCAACAGCUCAAAUUUGAAAUCUGGCUUCGGCCCGAGUUGUAAUUUGCAGAGGAUGCUUUUGGUGCGGUGCCUUCCGAGUUCCCUGGAACGGGACGCCACAGAGGGUGAGAGCCCCGUAUGGUCGGACACCAAUCCUGUGUAAAGCUCCUUCGACGAGUCGAGUAGUUUGGGAAUGCUGCUCUAAAUGGGAGGUAAAUCUCUUCUAAAGCUAAAUACCGGCCAGAGACCGAUAGCGCACAAGUAGAGUGAUCGAAAGAUGAAAAGCACCUUGAAAAGGGGGUUAAACAGUACGUGAAAUUGUUGAAAGGGAAGCACUUGUGACCAGACUUGGGCCGGGCGGCUCAUCAGGGGUUCUCCCCUGUGCAUUCCGCCCGGUACAGGCCAGCAUCGGUUCUUACCGGGGGAUAAGAACGGCAGGAACGUGGCUCCCUCUCGGGGGAGUGUUAUAGCCUGCCGUACGAUACCCUGGCGGGGACCGAGGUUCGCGCUUCCGCAAGGAUGCUGGCGUAAUGGUUACUAGUGACCCGUCUUGAAACACGGACCAAGGAGUCGUCCAUUAGAGCGAGCGUUUGGGUGUAAAACCCGCACGCGUAAUGAAAGUGAAAUUAGGUGAGAGCUUCGGCGCAUCAUCGACCGAUCCUGAUGUUCUCGGAUGGAUUUGAGUAAGAGUUUUAACGGACGGACCCGAAAGACAGUGAACUAUGCUUGUAUAGGGUGAAGCCAGAGG